GCCUGAGUGGCUCAGUCAGUUAAGCAUCUGACUUUGGCUCAGGUCACAAUCUCAGGGUCCUGGGUUCAAGUCCCAUUUCUGGUU
Molecule: transfer RNA, 84 nt
Filed under: Ailuropoda melanoleuca (giant panda)
Lineage: Eukaryota; Metazoa; Chordata; Mammalia; Carnivora; Ursidae
Rfam family: tRNA
About the family: Transfer RNA (tRNA) molecules are approximately 80 nucleotides in length.
Source: Rfam by way of RNAcentral